GACGAACGCUGGCGGCGUGCUUAACACAUGCAAGUCGAACGGUGAACCAGAGCUCGCUCUGGGGAUCAGUGGCGAACGGGUGAGUAACACGUGGGCAACCUGCCCAGACUCUGGGAUAACCCGGGAACCGGAGCUAAUAUCAGAUAUGACCACUUCGGACAUCCGAUGGUGGUGGAAAGUUUUUCGGUCUGGGAUGGGCCCGCGGCCUAUCAGCUAGUUGGUGGGGUAAUGGCCUACCAAGGCGACGACGGGUAGCCGGCCUGAGAGGGCGACCGGCCACACUGGAACUGAGACACGGUCCAGACUCCUACGGGAGGCAGCAGUGGGGAAUAUUGCACAAUGGGCGAAAGCCUGAUGCAGCGACGCCGCGUGAGGGACGACGGGCCUUCGGGUUGGCAAACCUACUUUCAGCAGGGACGAAGCGAAGUAGACUGUACCUGCAAAGAAGCACCGGCUAACUACGUGCCAGCAGCCGCGGUAA
Molecule: ribosomal RNA, 481 nt
Filed under: uncultured bacterium
Lineage: Bacteria
Description: bacterial SSU rRNA
Rfam family: Bacterial small subunit ribosomal RNA
Source: RNAcentral